UUAAGCGACUAAGCGUACACGGUGGAUGCCCUGGCAGUCAGAGGCGAUGAAGGACGUGCUAAUCUGCGAAAAGCGUCGGUAAGGUGAUAUGAACCGUUAUAACCGGCGAUGUCCGAAUGGGGAAACCCAGUGCAAUUCGUUGCACUAUCGUUAACUGAAUACAUAGGUUAACGAGGCGAACCGGGGGAACUGAAACAUCUAAGUACCCCGAGGAAAAGAAAUCAACCGAGAUUCCCCAGUAGCGGCGAGCGAACGGGGAGCAGCCCAGAGUCUGAAUCAGCUUGUGUGUUAGUGGAACGGUCUGGAAAGUCCGACGGUACAGGGUGAUAGUCCCGUACACCAAAAUGCACAGGCUGUGAACUCGAAGAGUAGGGCGGGACACGUGGUAUCCUGUCUGAAUAUGGGGGGACCAUCCUCCAAGGCUAAAUACUCCUGACUGACCGAUAGUGAACCAGUACCGUGAGGGAAAGGCGAAAAGAACCCCGGCGAGGGGAGUGAAAAAGAACCUGAAACCGUGUACGUACAAGCAGUGGGAGCACCUUCGGGUGUGACUGCGUACCUUUUGUAUAAUGGGUCAGCGACUUAUAUUCUGUAGCAAGGUUAACCGUAUAGGGGAGCCGCAGGGAAACCGAGUCUUAACUGGGCGUUAAGUUGCAGGGUAUAGACCCGAAACCCGGUGAUCUAGCCAUGGGCAGGUUGAAGGUUGGGUAACACUAACUGGAGGACCGAACCGACUAAUGUUGAAAAAUUAGCGGAUGACUUGUGGCUGGGGGUGAAAGGCCAAUCAAACCGGGAGAUAGCUGGUUCUCCCCGAAAGCUAUUUAGGUAGCGCCUCGUGAAUUCAUCUUCGGGGUAGAGCACUGUUUCGGCUAGGGGGUCAUCCCGACUUACCAACCCGAUGCAAACUACGAAUACCGAAGAAUGUUAUCACGGGAGACACACGGCGGGUGCUAACGUCCGUCGUGAAGAGGGAAACAACCCAGACCGCCAGCUAAGGUCCCAAAGUCAUGGUUAAGUGGGAAACGAUGUGGGAAGGCACAGACAGCCAGGAUGUUGGCUUAGAAGCAGCCAUCAUUUAAAGAAAGCGUAAUAGCUCACUGGUCGAGUCGGCCUGCGCGGAAGAUGUAACGGGGCUAAACCAUGCACCGAAGCUGCGGCAGCGACACUAUGUGUUGUUGGGUAGGGGAGCGUUCUGUAAGCCUGCGAAGGUGACCUGUGAGGGUUGCUGGAGGUAUCAGAAGUGCGAAUGCUGACAUAAGUAACGAUAAAGCGGGUGAAAAGCCCGCUCGCCGGAAGACCAAGGGUUCCUGUCCAACGUUAAUCGGGGCAGGGUGAGUCGACCCCUAAGGCGAGGCCGAAAGGCGUAGUCGAUGGGAAACAGGUUAAUAUUCCUGUACUUGGUGUUACUGCGAAGGGGGGACGGAGAAGGCUAUGUUAGCCGGGCGACGGUUGUCCCGGUUUAAGCAUGUAGGCUGGUUAUCCAGGCAAAUCCGGAUAAUCAAGGCUGAGGUGUGAUGACGAGGCACUACGGUGCUGAAGUAACAAAUGCCCUGCUUCCAGGAAAAGCCUCUAAGCAUCAGGUAACAUUAAAUCGUACCCCAAACCGACACAGGUGGUCAGGUAGAGAAUAUCAAGGCGCUUGAGAGAACUCGGGUGAAGGAACUAGGCAAAAUGGUGCCGUAACUUCGGGAGAAGGCACGCUGGUGUGUAGGUGAAGUCCCUGCGGAUGGAGCUGAGACCAGUCGAAGAUACCAGCUGGCUGCAACUGUUUAUUAAAAACACAGCACUGUGCAAACACGAAAGUGGACGUAUACGGUGUGACGCCUGCCCGGUGCCGGAAGGUUAAUUGAUGGGGUUAUCCGUAAGGAGAAGCUCUUGAUCGAAGCCCCGGUAAACGGCGGCCGUAACUAUAACGGUCCUAAGGUAGCGAAAUUCCUUGUCGGGUAAGUUCCGACCUGCACGAAUGGCGUAAUGAUGGCCAGGCUGUCUCCACCCGAGACUCAGUGAAAUUGAACUCGCUGUGAAGAUGCAGUGUACCCGCGGCAAGACGGAAAGACCCCGUGAACCUUUACUAUAGCUUGACACUGAACAUUGAGCCUUGAUGUGUAGGAUAGGUGGGAGGCUUUGAAGCGUGGACGCCAGUCUGCGUGGAGCCAACCUUGAAAUACCACCCUUUAAUGUUUGAUGUUCUAACGUUGGCCCCUGACCGGGGUUGCGGACAGUGUCUGGUGGGUAGUUUGACUGGGGCGGUCUCCUCCCAAAGCGUAACGGAGGAGCACGAAGGUUAGCUAAUCCUGGUCGGACAUCAGGAGGUUAGUGCAAUGGCAUAAGCUAGCUUGACUGCGAGCGUGACGGCGCGAGCAGGUGCGAAAGCAGGUCAUAGUGAUCCGGUGGUUCUGAAUGGAAGGGCCAUCGCUCAACGGAUAAAAGGUACUCCGGGGAUAACAGGCUGAUACCGCCCAAGAGUUCAUAUCGACGGCGGUGUUUGGCACCUCGAUGUCGGCUCAUCACAUCCUGGGGCUGAAGUAGGUCCCAAGGGUAUGGCUGUUCGCCAUUUAAAGUGGUACGCGAGCUGGGUUUAGAACGUCGUGAGACAGUUCGGUCCCUAUCUGCCGUGGGCGCUGGAGAAUUGAGGGGGGCUGCUCCUAGUACGAGAGGACCGGAGUGGACGCAUCACUGGUGUUCGGGUUGUCAUGCCAAUGGCACUGCCCGGUAGCUAAAUGCGGAAGAGAUAAGUGCUGAAAGCAUCUAAGCACGAAACUUGCCCCGAGAUGAGUUCUCCCUGAGACUUUAAGUCUCCUGAAGGAACGUUGAAGACGAUGACGUUGAUAGGCCGGGUGUGUAAGCGCAGCGAUGCGUUGAGCUAACCGGUACUAAUGAACCGUGAGGCUUAACCUU
RNAcentral lists this ribosomal RNA (2898 nucleotides) under Serratia liquefaciens. RNAcentral describes it as "23S ribosomal RNA". It matches the Rfam family "Bacterial large subunit ribosomal RNA". Lineage: Bacteria; Pseudomonadati; Pseudomonadota; Gammaproteobacteria; Enterobacterales; Yersiniaceae. The record is from RNAcentral.